UACUGUGGCCAUAGCACCUUGUCAGUGCUUCAUCUCCUCAGAUAAGAAGAGUUGGGCCUGGUUAGUACUUGGAUGAGAGAUCACUGGAAAUAACAGGUCACAGCGGAGA
This 109-nucleotide ribosomal RNA is filed under the name Periophthalmus magnuspinnatus. Lineage: Eukaryota; Metazoa; Chordata; Actinopteri; Gobiiformes; Gobiidae. The record is from RNAcentral.